AGCGAACGCUGGCGGCAGGCCUAACACAUGCAAGUCGAACGGAUCCUUCGGGAUUAGUGGCGGACGGGUGAGUAACACGUGGGAACGUGCCCUUUGGUUCGGAACAACUCAGGGAACCUUGAGCUAAUACCGGAUGUGCCCUUCGGGGGAAAGAUUAUCGCCAUUGGAGCGGCCCGCGUCUGAUUAGCUAGUUGGUGAGGUAAAGGCUCACCAAGGCGACGAUCAGUAGCUGGUCUGAGAGGAUGAUCAGCCACAUUGGGACUGAGACACGGCCCAAACUCCUACGGGAGGCAGCAGUGGGGAAUCUUGCGCAAUGGGCGAAAGCCUGACGCAGCCAUGCCGCGUGAAUGAUGAAGGUCUUAGGAUUGUAAAAUUCUUUCACCGGGGACGAUAAUGACGGUACCCGGAGAAGAAGCCCCGGCUAACUUCGUGCCAGCCGCCGCAGUAA
This 448-nucleotide ribosomal RNA is filed under the name uncultured bacterium. RNAcentral's name for it is "partial 16S ribosomal RNA". It matches the Rfam family "Bacterial small subunit ribosomal RNA", at positions 29 to 523 of the family's 1533-position model. The record is from RNAcentral.